AAUGUUGCUCUCCCUGGAGCUGGGCUGCAGGAAGUCUGGGCCCCCGGCUCGCACUCCCGGACCCCGCACCAACCUCCAGGGUCGCUCUCCAAUCUUAACCAGGUUUGCUCCCUGAGCGUACCCAGGUGCUACAGCAUCAGCUUCCCUUGCCGCUUCCUGCGGCUGAAGGGAUGGUCCGACCAAAGCCUCCUGCCCUGGGGCAGCCGAUGCCACUGCAUGCUUUUUCCUGCGCUUGGGCUUCACGGUGCCACGGAUAUUGGCCGGCUUGCUGCGCUUGGAGCGUAGGGUAAUGUACACCACAUUGGGCUGCAGAGUGGACCCAUUGCCCUGGGACUCUGGAGGGGCCAGGGUACCAUCCAGGGGUAUCUCAGGGAAGGAUGGCUCGGCGGUGUCGCGGCUGCGAUGUGGCCCCUUCUCAGCCGCCUGUCCAUGCUGGAGAGAGGCCCUCCCCACCUGGCUCACCAGGAAGCCCAAGUAGAUGGCACACGCAGUGCCCAGCAGAAGGUUUCUCCGGGUCCUUGGACGCCGGCUGCUCCAGAGCUUACGCACCCGCGGGACGCACAGGGAGCAGAUGAACCAGUUUAUGAGCUGCCCCGGCUUGUCUGGACAGCUGCCGCGUCCGCUUCGGGAUAUAAGUGGUCUCCAGUGGGCAGAGGUGGAAGGAAAGGGUUGGUGAUGAAGCUGGGAAUGUUUCUGACACAACAAACCUUUUAAAUUAUCAGUCUCCCCAAGGAGAAAUGCGGCUUGUUUCUGGGAAUGAAUGGAUACAGAGUUAACUGAGUCACAAUUUCAAACCAUUUAAGUUCCUCUACAAGAGUCAAGAAAAAAAGUAAUCAUUUCCUUUCAUAAAUAUCACCACUAAAUGUUUUUAAAAAUAAAAUUUAAAAGCAUGCAAACGAGAUAGAUGUAUAGAUUUGAUAGUCACUUGAAAGUAGUGAAAACAAGCCACAAAAAUCCAAGAGUGUUUUAUAACUUGUACCUAGAGUCAUUUAAGUUGACUCUGAAGCAAAAGCGUUAAAAUGUGACAAACCUGGGCUUUUCCUUUUUGAAAUUCAGAAAGAACUUAAGACAAGUAAUAGAUAAUUUUUUAAUACUCUAUACCUAUACCAUUUUUAUUUUUUAAAGUCCUGAAUUAACUAAGUACAAGCAGCAAGUAUUAACAAUAAAAUUUAGAAACAUAUUCUCUUAGUCUAAAGGUACAAAUUGUACUUCAUAUUAAUAAUAUGUUCCAUUAGCUUACAUUGUUAGUAUAAUACAAAGCCAUAAAUGUCCAUAUAUCUUGGAAGCAGUUGCAUUUAUUCUGUUUCUCUCUCUCUCUCUCUUUCUCUCUCUCUCACACACAUACACACACACAACACAACACAACUCUGACUGCUUUUUAUUUCUUUUCUUUCCACCGAAGUCAGCUGAAAGAAAAUAAAAGCAUCUCUAGUUCUGUUUUUUCACUAUUAAAAAGAAAAAGAAGAAACUCGUAAGCAACCUUACUUACACAGCUGGCCCCAUGCUUGGCUCCAGGAAGAAUGUAAUCCUUGACUCUAAUGCAAAGAACUUUUAAAGGCUGAGGCAUGUAAGUAGAACAUAUUUCAUGGUCAAGAGUGUUCCACAUUUCAAACAUUUCAGUUCAGCUUUAAAAGCUCCCUUGAAAACUACUGAUUGCAAAGCAAAACUUGGAAACUGACUGCUGCAUGGUUUUAAGAGAUACAAAGCUUUUAAAAACAAUAGUUAACAAAAUAAACUUUAAUUUUAAAUUCGGAAAAAAGAAAUGCCGUAGAGAAUCAGUUUUCAUUCAAAUAAAUUUCCACUUAUUUUUAACCCCUGGGAGCCCUCUAGUGUCCUGUUCGCAAACAGACUCAGAAAUGUCAGUCUCAUGAAGUUCAAAAGAUCGAGAAUGUUUGCUAUCUUGGUGGAGCAGCCGCAGCCAAGCAAGUAACUUGUAAAAUGAGGAAUGCCAUCACCCCUCGAGUGUCCAUCCCACAUAACUUGGGGUUAGAGCACAAGCGUUCCCAGGAACUACUCACCUUACCAUCUUGGCCGUUUCAUUUGUCUUCCACCAGUUCUGGAAAGAGAAGGCCUAGAAGUUCAGAAAAAAAGGUGUGUCACUUGCUGUGACUGUGUGGCAGCUUGCCCAUCUCCUGAGAGCCCUUGGGAAAGUGAAGGACAAUAUAUAAGGACUCCAAUCACUUAAAAGCUAAGUAUUAAGUUUUUCCUUGCCACUGCUGACCCAGGUUUGUUGCAUAGAUUGCAGACCUGGAGAUGGAUACCUUGUUCUUGGUUCAGUGCUGCACAGACUCCUCCACUGGGGGACCCUAUCCCUUGCUCCUCAUAGUCCUGAUUUCUAGGACCCAUAACCCUAUUAUAAUUAAAAUCCCAGCAUUAGCAUAGGUUCCUGGCUACAACCUUUGUCCUACUUAUUGUAUGGAAUUUGCUAAUACCUUUGCUAUCCAUUCCAACACCAGGCCUGGACAGCACCAAGCUGCCCUGCCUGCAGCUGAAAAACUUUUAACUUAAUAGUCUUUGAAGUUUUGUCAUAGAAGUGUUAAAUAGUACUCUAUACUGUAUCUGUCUUUUGAACUGUAUGUAAAAGAAGUUACAUUGAAUAUAUUUUAUAGAAAUAUGUGCACUUUUUAUCUGGCACUUUAUUGCUCACCCCUAAGGACAUCAUUCCUGUUGACCUAAACUAGUACAUCUAUUUGCAGUAGGAAAAGUGCUUUUGGAGAAAAUCACCUGUCUCCUCAGAACUGGUCUUACAAGUCUGUGAAGUAACACUAUGUGCCAGCCUAAUCACUCAUAUAUGACCUCAAGAGAACACCAAAUAAGCAUAUUUCCAGCAGGAAAUGACCAGUGCUUUGGUUAAGAAUGCACAUUAUACUGCAGUUCUUUGGGGAAUGAAGCCACCCUUGACUGAGGUAUUAUGCCAACUCUCACCCUGUGAAUCCACUGACUGGGGAACAUUGUUUAAGAAAAUCACAUGGCUGUGCCAACAAGCAAGGAGACACGGCACAGAAGACAGAGGCAGAAGCAGCUUUAUUGAAAAACAGAGCAUGAGUAGAACGACUUCAAAUCCCAUAUGGCACCACAGUGAGAAGUAACUUCCUCUGAGCUUCUUAGAGAAUCCAACAAUGUCCUGCUUCCUUGGGGAGCUGCAGCCAUGGGCACAUGGGAAUAGGGCUUCCACCAAGAGUCCCGUCAGUCACAGCAACAGGAGGUCUUCCUCAGACAACUUUGAUGAUAGUGGUUGUUAGCCAGAGCAAGCUAGAACCAGAAAGAAAAACUAUGAAGAUGCCACAGUGGGAGUCUGAGCACCUUGAGGCCUCCUGUUGGAAACUGGCAAACCUAACUGUGGGACACUUGGAUGCUGAGUUCUGGUAAACAUGCUGUCGGAGGCACGGUAAUUUAGUCAUUAACAUUUAAAAACGAUCUAAUUCUAUAUACAUACUCUGUUGAAGACUUCUUCCAACCACCUUGUAUUAUAAAUUUAAAAUAUGAAAUACAAACUCUUUAUGUGUCUUGACUCAGAUUACCUAGGAAGGGACAGUGACCUAUUCAUCAAUGUUUAGAAUUAGAGUAAGUUAUAGAAUAUAGUCUGAGAAAAUUACUUGGACCAAGAAAGCAAUGUCCCUGACAUUCAUCAAUCUAGAACCAGAGCUGCAGAUUAAGCUAGGUGCAAAUUUAUCAGAAAACAAUAUUUUUCCCAAAUACAUAUUGCAGCCAUAAAAUGCCCUAAAAACCCAGUUCUUAGAGGGACUAUUGCUUACUUACUGAGAAAUUGUAUUCUCUGAAAUCAUAGACUAUGAGAUGCAUUGCUGUUUAAAAUUAUUGCAAUAAGAAUGAAACAUCUCACUCUUAUCUGGAGGAGUUAAGUCAUUGUGAUCAGUGAAGCCUUGAUUUAAGCUCCUGUGCAAAGCUUCAGAGAAUGGGUCUCAGGACACAACAUUUGACAUCUAUUUUGACUUCAUUUCCAAGAAAAUAGGACUGCUAUGGUUUGAAUGUUUGUCUCCCUCAAACCAAGGUGUCGGAGGUGGGGCCUAAUGGGAGACGUUUGGGUUAUCAGGGAGGGUCCCUCAUGAAUAGAUUAAUGCUCUCCCUGGGGGUAGGGAACAGUUAGUGAGUUCUUGCUUUAUUCAUUCUCAAGAGAGCUGGUUGUUAAAUAGAGCCUGGCGCCUCCCUCCUCCCUCCUUGCUUUCUCUCUCACCGUAUGAUCUUAGCACAUUACACCUCCCCUCACCUUCUGCCAUGAGUGGAAGCAGCCUGAGCCUCUCACCAGGAGCAGAUGCUGGUGCCAUGCUUCUUGUACAGCCCACAGAGCAGUGAGCCAAAUAAACCUCUUUUCCUUAGAGAUUGCGCAGCCUCAGAUGUUCCUCUAGAGCAACACAAAAUGGACUAAGACAAGAACCAUAGGUCCAUUUCACAGUACAGAGCUGAGGUUGACCCCUUUUAUACACAACCAUACUUUCUUAGAGCCCAUAGAAUAUCAUUUCAUUUACAUCACACCUAAAUUCCACUCUUUAGCAAAAUCUUAUGUUAACCCUAUAUUUUCCUUUGUUUGAUGAGAUACCCCACAAUUGCUCUGUUGUGCAGUCCCCACACUGCAAUGAGUCAGUAAACUCAAUUGGUUUGUUUACAGGUUGUCCCUGGUGGUUUUAGGCUGAUUGGGCUAAGACAAACCACAUCUUAUUUUUUAAAUGUCUCCUUUAAGCAAAUGUUAUUAUCUGUAUUUUACUCUAUUCCAUAAGCAGAAGUGACAAAGUAGUCUAAUUUUACCAAAAGAUGCUUAUAGCAUAAAACUUUCUAUGCUGUAAACAUAGAAAGUACUUGAAAUCAAAAAGAAAAAAUUACUGUCCUUAAAAUGAAAAAAAAUAUACACACAGAGUUGGGGUUUUUUCACUUUACUAAAGCUCAGGCUGUGCUUAUUACAAUAGAACAGUGAUCAAAACUACAGCUUUUUUUCCUCCUUUAUAAUAUGACCAAACAAGGGUUAGUGGCAAUGAGCACUGCAUCACUUAAAAGAUACUGAAAAACUUGAAAUACUGAUGAACCUCUAACAAACACCUUCUUCCCAAUCCUCACUCUUGACCUAUGACCUUGUUUCCUUUUCACUGAGAAACAGAGAAAAAAUUAGAUGAGAAUGUGUACAAGCUCUCACCACAAGAUCUUCCUACCUCCUCUAACUGCACCUAUAUACUAUUACUAUCAAAGAUCCCUCUGUGUCCCUAACAAAGGCUAUUUCCUCUCCUUUUGCACUAAAUUCCAUAUACUCAUGCCUAUGGGGAGACAUUGUUCCAGUAAUUAUCUCCUUUCCUCUGCUUGGGUCAGCCUCUAGGAUGGACCCCCAUGAUCCCCACCUCCUGGUAUCCGCGCCAUGAUGCAAUCUGCUUACAGCCUAAAUCAGGAUGAACCAUAUGACUCAUAGAACACUGCAGAAGGCAUGAUGUGUGACUUCAGAUGUGAAGUCAUAGAGGACAAGGACACAGCCACCUUCUUGGAUUUCUCACUCUGUGGAAGGGCAGUGACAUUCCAUGAGACAAGCAGUCCUGUGGUGAGGCCCAUGUCAAGAAGGCCUGAGAUCUCCCACCAUCAGCUACAGCCAAUUUGUCAGUCACGUGAGUAAACCACCUGGGACGUGAAUCCUCUCGACUUAACCACCUCUUCAGGUGGCCAGAGCCCUAGCCCAGGUCUGACUGCAACCUGAUGAGAAACCCUGAGUAGGAAGACCUGCUUGAGCUGCUCCCAAAUUAUUGAUCCACAGACACUAUGAGAGAUAAUACGUACUUAGUGUUCUUUUAACCCACUACAUUUUGGUUGGCUGUAUUUAUUACCCUGUAACAGAUGACUAAUACAUCUCCUGUGAUCAAAACACUUCAGAGGUUCCCCAUUUCUCUCAGAGAAAUAUCCAAAGUCCAUAAGGCCUGUGAGGCCCCUCACAUUCUUCCCACCCCCAUUACCUCUCUAACUCCAUUUUCUACCACUCUCCUUCUUUCCACUCUCUCCCCACUCCCACUCCCUCCUCCAGGCCUUCACUGAAAUGUCUCCCUCUCAGUGAGGACUUCCUUUCCUAAACUGCAGUACCCCCAACCUACACACACACACACACACACACACACACACACACACAGAGUCUCUAGUCUUCCUAGCUCCUUAAUUUUUUUUUCCUUAGCACAUAUCACUAUUUCAUAUACCAUAUUUGUCAUCUAUUUUCUGGUUUCCCUUUCUCAGAUGUAAGCUAAGUUGGUGCAGGGGUUUUUGUCUGUUCCCAAUGUCUAGAAGAGUGUCUGAUUUACAGUAGACACUCCAUGAAAUUUGUCAAAUGAAUACACCAGUGUUAAGAGUAUAAGAGUGUAAUAGUACCUUUAAAAAUGCCUCAAAGAUAAAUCUUUUGAUUUAUCUUUAUUUUUAGAUCUCUACCCCCACUUUAGCCACUUCUGAAAUUUACUACUAGAAAAACCUUUUCUUUCGUGAAGAACUGUCUCACAAAAAUAGCAGUUAAAUAGGAAGCUAUCCUAACCCACUGUUUGCCUUUUCCCUUGUGAAACUCAGACCAAAAUUGAAAGUCAUCUAUUGUAACUAUGUGUUCUUGGCAUCUAAACUCUGUUUUGUUUCAUCUUGACUUUCUUAAUUUCCUAGGUUUUUUCCUUUGUUCCUAUUAUUUUAUUGUUUUUAUUCUAUAUUGCUUCAAAGACUUUAUGAAAUUAAGUAAAUUAUAAAUACAAAUAUAAGUAAGUAUACUAGUCUUUUCUUAAGCUCACAACAAAUUAUUACAGGUAUCUUUGAUUCAGUUUAUUAUAAUUACAGAAUUGUAAACUUUUCAAGGAAUAAAUCUUUAAAAUCAACAAAGGUAAUAUUUUUAUUAUUUAUUGGGAUAUUCUUUUUUUUCUUUUUUUUUUCUUUUUUUUUGAGACAGAGUAUCGCUUUGUCACCCAGGUUGGAGUGCAGUGGCUCAAUCUCAGCUCACCUCCCAGUUUCAAGCGAUUCUCCUGCCUCAGCCUCCCAAGCAGCUGGGAUUACAGGCGCCGCCACCACGCUUGGCUAAUUUUUUGUAUUUUUAGUAGACACGCGGUUUCACCGUGUUGGUCAGGCUGGUCUUGAACUCCUGACCUCAAGUGAUCUACCCACCUCGGCUUCCCAAACUGCUGGGAUUACAGGCAUAAGCCACUGUGCCCAACCUGGGGUAUUCUUAUUGUAAAACAUUUUACACGAAAAAUAUACUUUGAAUCAGGAGAGAAACAUUUCAACACAGCAUCAUUAUUUCUCAGUAAAAUGGCACAUUUUUCCUAAUUUCAGAUUAUUCUUGGAAAAUUUUGUUUGCUUCUAUGAUAUAAUAAAAUUCUGCUUGAAAAUUACGUGUUAAAUUGAUUCCUUCUCCAUUUCCAAAAAACAGAGGAAGGGUUAUUUUAAACAAUAAAGUGGUUGAUUAUGUUAUCCAAUGAAUCAGCAGGUUUUUUACUGCCUUCACCAGUCAUCAUUUCUCAUUAUACACAGAGAUCCUCAAAAUGAGCAGCAGAUACACUCAGUCUGUAGGAUCAUUUAGCAACUCGGGGAAGGAGGGUAAGUAGCCUAGAUUUUUUUAAAGUUCCCACACCCAAACAUCUCAAAAGAUCAUAAAAAGAUAAACAAGUGUUCAGAGAUUAAAUAUGGAAAAUAUUGGUAUUGGUUUUGAUUCUAUAGACAAAAAUAAAAUACCACUUGGCAGUAGAUUUCUCACUUUUUAAGUAUUCUUGUAUUUGGUGAAUGGGUAAAAAGAUAGUCAAAUGAGUUAAAUAUACAUUUAAAUAAAUGGGCAAAUAUGUAUUAUCAAUUAUCAGUUAUCAACCCCAUCAAUUAUUUCAUCAUAUCUAAAUACAUAUAAUAUAUAUUCCUCGGCCUGUAAAGUAAACCAACCCCGUCAAUAAUCUCA
RNAcentral lists this long non-coding RNA (7891 nucleotides) under Homo sapiens (human). RNAcentral's name for it is "HSALNT0080031". The record is from RNAcentral. Lineage: Eukaryota; Metazoa; Chordata; Mammalia; Primates; Hominidae.